UCCCUUUUGAUUCUCGCAGAACCAUGACUUUGCUGGCUUGUCUGCAGGAUGUGAAGAAUUGGCUGGCUCACAUUUUUUUAAAUUGAAUGAAGACAAAGCCGAACUUGUUGUAUUUGGCCAUCCCAAUUCCCCAUCAUCCACUGACUGUG
Molecule: long non-coding RNA, 149 nt
Organism: Thalassophryne amazonica
Lineage: Eukaryota; Metazoa; Chordata; Actinopteri; Batrachoidiformes; Batrachoididae
Exons: 3
Source: RefSeq, a predicted model, not a curated record